This 392-nucleotide ribosomal RNA is filed under the name uncultured bacterium. RNAcentral describes it as "partial 16S ribosomal RNA". It matches the Rfam family "Bacterial small subunit ribosomal RNA", at positions 523 to 918 of the family's 1533-position model. The record is from RNAcentral.
AUACGUAGGUGACAAGCGUUAUCCGGAUUUACUGGGCGUAAAGGGUGCGCAGGCGGCCAUUUAAGUCAGCGGUUAAAUCGUGGGGCUCAACCCCAUUCUGCCAUUGAUACUGGGUGGCUUGAUUGCGGUCGAGGUUGGCGGAAUUCGUUGUGUAGCGGUGAAAUGCAUAGAUAUGACGAAGAACACCGAUUGCGUAGGCAGCUGACCAGACCGCAAAUGACGCUCAUGCACGAAAGUGCGGGGAUCGAACAGGAUUAGAUACCCUGGUAGUCCGCACAGUAAACGAUGAAUACUUGUUUUCGGCGAUAUAAUGUCGGAGGCAAAGCGAAAGCGAUAAGUAUUCCACCUGGGGAGUACGCCGGCAACGGUGAAACUCAAAGGAAUUGACGGGG